GAUGAACGCUGGCGGCGUGCUUAACACAUGCAAGUCGAACGGAAAGGCUCCUGCUUGCAGGGGUACUCGAGUGGCGAACGGGUGAGUAACACGUGGGUGAUCUGCCCUGCACUUCGGGAUAAGCCUGGGAAACUGGGUCUAAUACCUGAUAGGACCACAUUUUGGAUGGUGUGGUGGAAAGUUUUUCGGUGUGGGUUGAGCUCGCGGCCUAUCAGCUUGUUGGUGGGGUAAUGGCCUACCAAGGCGUCGACGGGUCGCCGGCCUGAGAGGUUGUACGGCGACAUUGGGACUGAGAUACGGCGCAGACGCCUACGGGAGGCAGCAGUGGGGAAUAUUGCACAAUGGGCGCAAGCGUGAUGAAGAGACGCCGCGUGGGGGAUGACGGCCUUCGGGUUGUAAACUCCUUUCGCUAGGGACGAAGCGCAAGUGACGGUACCUGGAGAAGAAGCACCGGCUAACUACGUG
This 465-nucleotide ribosomal RNA is filed under the name uncultured bacterium. Its description in RNAcentral is "partial 16S ribosomal RNA". It matches the Rfam family "Bacterial small subunit ribosomal RNA", at positions 28 to 507 of the family's 1533-position model. The record is from RNAcentral.